GAACGUUGUUUAUUACUGUCGGGAAUUCAUGACGUUAACGUUUAUCCGCUAACAUGCACGCGACGUCAUGUAUACUAUCGACGUCACUUUUCAUGUUGUAUAUUAAACAACUUCGUAUGAACGUCUAAUAAAAUGUCGAAACUAACGCAACUGUUUUCGUAUUUCGCAGUUUUUUAAAACCAUACGAUCAUCAUACGCAAUAAUAACGAUCUUUUAUUCUUACCUGUCAGCUGUCAAAAAGUUCGGGAAAUGUUUUGUUUCCGGUUUGGAAAUGGUACACGGAUUACUUCCCCUGAACCUCGUAUAAUCUCGCGAUAUGUUAACCGGUCCAAAUUUGGACCGGUAAAAUUAGCCUGUACCGAUCCCUAUAUAGAGAGUAUGCCAUAGAUAAGGGGAGGUAACCAAUCUACGACUGACGCGGCAUCGACUCGUUUCGCCUUGCCGCCGCGGAUCGCGAAAUACGUCUGUUCCGCAUUGGCUUUUUCACGCCCUCGAUGUCGAGACCUCUCGCUGCAAGAUCUGUUGCCAAUAGAACAUCUACCUGGGCCUCCUUGAAUCUUCGUAAUGUUUCCAGACGCUGAUGGUGUGGAAUUGAAGACAAAAUAAUGAAUGUAGUUCAAAAUAAAAGGAAACAAGAAUGCAA
Long non-coding RNA from Dreissena polymorpha, 643 nucleotides. RefSeq lists it as uncharacterized. Lineage: Eukaryota; Metazoa; Mollusca; Bivalvia; Myida; Dreissenidae. The transcript is spliced from 2 exons. The record is from RefSeq and is a predicted model, not a curated record.